Molecule: ribosomal RNA, 255 nt
Filed under: uncultured bacterium
Lineage: Bacteria
Description: partial 16S ribosomal RNA
Rfam family: Bacterial small subunit ribosomal RNA
Source: RNAcentral
UACGUAGGGGGCGAGCGUUGUCCGGAGUUACUGGGCAUAAAGCGCACGCAGGCGGUCUUCCAAGUCAGUGGUGAAAGCCCGGAGCCUCAACUCCGGAACUGCCAUUGAAACUGUUGGACUUGAGUACGAGAGAGGUGAGUGGAAUUCCCAGUGUAGAGGUGAAAUUCGAUAGAUAUUGGGAAGAACACCGGUGGCGAAGGCGGCUCACUGGCUCGUAACUGACGCUCAGGCGCGACAGCGUGGGGAUCAAACAGG